UUUUAUUUGAGAGUUUGAUCCUGGCUCAGGAUGAACGCUGGCGGCGUGCCUAACACAUGCAAGUUGAGCGAUUUACUUCGGUAAAGAGCGGCGGACGGGUGAGUAACGCGUGGGUAACCUACCCUGUACACACGGAUAACAUACCGAAAGGUAUGCUAAUACGGGAUAAUAUAUUUGAGAGGCAUCUCUCGAAUAUCAAAGGUGAGCCAGUACAGGAUGGACCCGCGUCUGAUUAGCUAGUUGGUAAGGUAACGGCUUACCAAGGCGACGAUCAGUAGCCGACCUGAGAGGGUGAUCGGCCACAUUGGAACUGAGACACGGUCCAAACUCCUACGGGAGG
Molecule: ribosomal RNA, 340 nt
Filed under: Clostridioides difficile
Lineage: Bacteria; Bacillati; Bacillota; Clostridia; Peptostreptococcales; Peptostreptococcaceae
Description: bacterial SSU rRNA
Rfam family: Bacterial small subunit ribosomal RNA
Source: RNAcentral